AGCCGUGUUCGGACCCCGAAACGAGUAAGGACCCCUCACCCUAUUUUCUAUCACGGUAUUAAAGUUCAAAAUGAUAAAACGGUAUUUCUUGAAUUAACGAAUGUGUGAAAUUGCUUAAGGUGGCUAAUGGAGUCCGAGUCUAGUGUGAUUGGUGAUUUACUGUUAUUUGGCAUGUUUACAGCUUUAAAUGCAAAAUGAGGUUUGAUGUGUUCAUUUUACAGAUUUGUGUGCAUAUACUACGUUUUUAUUAAUUAUGGGUUGAAUGACUGAAAAACUGAUACUGUAUGUUGUCUGUUUGGCAUGA
This 304-nucleotide long non-coding RNA is filed under the name Carica papaya (papaya). RNAcentral describes it as "long non-coding RNA (CPAP_LNC015252)". Lineage: Eukaryota; Viridiplantae; Streptophyta; Magnoliopsida; Brassicales; Caricaceae. The record is from RNAcentral.